Sinocyclocheilus rhinocerous is the source of this 149-nucleotide long non-coding RNA. RefSeq lists it as uncharacterized. NCBI's taxonomy places the organism in Eukaryota, Metazoa, Chordata, Actinopteri, Cypriniformes, Cyprinidae. The record is from RefSeq and is a predicted model, not a curated record. The transcript is spliced from 4 exons.
CGCACCACACGGAUACGUUUUCUACGUUGUUUGUGCUUUGAUUUGAACGAAAACAACGUAUCCAUGUGGUGCGGCUGACAUAGAACAACAUAAGCUGUUUGCGCUCAGUGGAUACUCUCCAAAAUGGCGCUAGGGUGACUGUAUAAAGU